This 2727-nucleotide ribosomal RNA is filed under the name Proteus mirabilis. Its description in RNAcentral is "bacterial LSU rRNA". It matches the Rfam family "Bacterial large subunit ribosomal RNA". The record is from RNAcentral. Lineage: Bacteria; Pseudomonadati; Pseudomonadota; Gammaproteobacteria; Enterobacterales; Morganellaceae.
UUAAGCGAAUAAGCGUACACGGUGGAUGCCUAGGCAAUCAGAGGCGAUGAAGGACGUGCUAAUCUGCGAAAAGCGUCGGUAAGGUGAUAUGAACCGUUAUACCCGACGAUAUCCGAAUGGGGAAACCCAGUAUCCAAUGGAUACUAUCAUUAACUGAAUCCAUAGGUUAAUGAGGCGAACCGGGAGAACUGAAACAUCUCAGUACCCCGAGGAAAAGAAAUCAACCGAGAUUCCCCUAGUAGCGGCGAGCGAACGGGGAGCAGCCCAGAGUCUUAAUCAAUAACAGUGUCAGGAGAACGGUCUGGAAAGUCCGGCAGUAAAGGGUGAUAGCCCCGUAUCUGAAGAUGCUGUUAUUGUGAACUCGACGAGUAGGGCGGGACACGUGUUAUCCUGUCUGAAUAUGGGGGGACCAUCCUCCAAGGCUAAAUACUCCUGAUUGACCGAUAGUGAACCAGUACCGUGAGGGAAAGGCGAAAAGAACCCCGGCGAGGGGAGUGAAAAAGAACCUGAAACCGUGUACGUACAAGCAGUAGGAGCCUCUUUAUGGGGUGACUGCGUACCUUUUGUAUAAUGGGUCAGCGACUUAUAUUCUGUAGCAAGGUUAACCGUAUAGGGGAGCCGUAGGGAAACCGAGUCUUAACUGGGCGAAUGAGUUGCAGGGUAUAGACCCGAAACCCGGUGAUCUAUCCAUGGGCAGGUUGAAGGUUGGGUAACACUAACUGGAGGACCGAACCGACUAAUGUUGAAAAAUUAGCGGAUGACUUGUGGAUGGGGGUGAAAGGCCAAUCAAACCGGGAGAUAGCUGGUUCUCCCCGAAAGCUAUUUAGGUAGCGCCUCGUGAACUCAUCUUCGGGGGUAGAGCACUGUUUCGACUAGGGGGUCAUCCCGACUUACCAACUCGAUGCAAACUGCGAAUACCGAAGAAUGUUAUCACGGGAGACACACGGCGGGUGCUAACGUCCGUCGUGAAGAGGGAAACAACUCAGACCGCCAGCUAAGGUCCCAAAGUCAUGGUUAAGUGGGAAACGAAGUGGGAAGGCUCAGACAGCCAGGAUGUUGGCUUAGAAGCAGCCAUCAUUUAAAGAAAGCGUAAUAGCUCACUGGUCGAGUCGGCCCGCGCGGAAGAUGUAACGGGGCUAAACCAUGCACCGAAGCUGCGGCAGCGACACAAAGUGUUGUUGGGUAGGGGAGCGUUCUGUAAGCCUGCGAAGGUGUACUGUGAGGUAUGCUGGAGGUAUCAGAAGUGCGAAUGCUGACAUAAGUAACGAUAAUGCGGGUGAAAAACCCGCACGCCGGAAGACCAAGGGUUCCUGUCCAACGUUAAUCGGGGCAGGGUGAGUCGACCCCUAAGGCGAGGCUGAAAAGCGUAGUCGAUGGGAAACGGGUUAAUAUUCCCGUACUGGUGGUAACUGCGAUGGGGGAACGGAGAAGGCUAGGUUGUCCGGGCGACGGUCGUCCCGGUUCAAGCAGGUAGGCAGAGUGACUAGGCAAAUCCGGUCACUUAAUGCUGAGAUGUGAUGACGAACCACCAAGGUGGUGAAGCAAUUGAUGCCCCGCUUCCAGGAAAAGCCUCUAAGCUUCAGGUUACCAACAAUCGUACCCCAAACCGACACAGGUGGUCAGGUAGAGAAUACUCAGGCGCUUGAGAGAACUCGGGUGAAGGAACUAGGCAAAAUGGUGCCGUAACUUCGGGAGAAGGCACGCUGGCGGUAGGUAAAGUCCCUCGCGGACGGCGCUGAAGCCAGUCGAAGAUACCAGCUGGCUGCAACUGUUUAUUAAAAACACAGCACUGUGCAAACACGAAAGUGGACGUAUACGGUGUGACGCCUGCCCGGUGCUGGAAGGUUAAUUGAUGGGGUCAGCCGCAAGGCGAAGCUCCUGAUCGAAGCCCCAGUAAACGGCGGCCGUAACUAUAACGGUCCUAAGUAGCGAAAUUCCUUGUCGGGUAAGUUCCGACCUGCACGAAUGGCGUAAUGAUGGCCAGGCUGUCUCCACCCGAGACUCAGUGAAAUUGAACUCGCUGUGAAGAUGCAGUGUACCCGCGGCAAGACGGAAAGACCCCGUGAACCUUUACUAUAGCUUGACACUGAACAUUGAGCCUUGAUGUGUAGGAUAGGUGGGAGGCUUUGAAGUGUGGACGCCAGUCUGCAUGGAGCCAACCUUGAAAUACCACCCUUUAACGUUUGAUGUUCUAACCUAGGCCCAUAAACUGGGUCGGGGACCGUGUCUGGUGGGUAGUUUGACUGGGGCGGUCUCCUCCUAAAGAGUAACGGAGGAGCACGAAGGUUGGCUAAGCAUGGUCGGACAUCAUGCGGUUAGUGCAAAGGCAUAAGCCAGCUUGACUGCGAGAGUGACGGCUCGAGCAGGUACGAAAGUAGGUCUUAGUGAUCCGGUGGUUCUGAAUGGAAGGGCCAUCGCUCAACGGAUAAAAGGUACUCCGGGGAUAACAGGCUGAUACCGCCCAAGAGUUCAUAUCGACGGCGGUGUUUGGCACCUCGAUGUCGGCUCAUCACAUCCUGGGCUGAAGUAGGUCCCAAGGGUAUGGCUGUUCGCCAUUUAAAGUGGUACGCGAGCUGGGUUUAACGUCGUGAGACAGUUCGGUCCCUAUCUGCCGUGGGCGUUGGAAGAUUGAGAGGGUUGCUCCUAGUACGAGAGGACCGGAGUGAACGCACCACUGGUGUUCGGGUUGUCAUGCCAAUGGCAUUGCCGGUAGCUAAGUGCGGAAGA